Molecule: ribosomal RNA, 1747 nt
Filed under: Isomermis lairdi
Lineage: Eukaryota; Metazoa; Nematoda; Enoplea; Mermithida; Mermithidae
Description: SSU rRNA
Rfam family: Eukaryotic small subunit ribosomal RNA
Source: RNAcentral
AAGCCAUGCAUGUCUAAGCACAUGCCUUGAAACGGUAAAGCCGCGAAUGGCUCGGUACAACAGCUACGGUUUACUAGAUUUAAACUCCACUUGGAUAACUGUGGUAAUUCUAGAGCUAAUACAUGCACCUAAGCUCGGACCUCACGGAAAGAGCGCAUUUAUUAGAUCAAGACCAAUCGGGCUUCGGUCCGUGGUUUGAUGACUCUGAAUAACCUAGCAGAUCGCACAGUCUUGCACUGGCGACGUAUCUUUCAAAUGUCUGCCUUAUCAACUUUCGAUGGUAGGUUAUAUGCCUACCAUGGUUAUAACGGGUAACGGAGAAUUAGGGUUCGACUCCGGAGAGGGAGCCUGAGAAAUGGCUACCACAUCCAAGGAAGGCAGCAGGCGCGCAAAUUACCCAAUCCCGGUACGGGGAGGUAGUGACGAAAAAUAACGAGAUAGUCCACUUUGUGGCCUGUCAUCGGAAUGGGUACAAUUUAAAUCCUUUAACGAGGAUCCAUUAGAGGGCAAGUCUGGUGCCAGCAGCCGCGGUAAUUCCAGCUCUAAUAGCGUAUAUUAAAGUUGUUGUGGUUAAAACGCCCGUAGUUGAUUUUUCGACUGUGGCGGUCGGUAGCCCGAGAGGGUUUCACUUGGCUUGUCGAGUCUGAAUUUGGGUUUUCUGUCGAUGCUCUUAACCGAGUGUCGGCAGUGACUCAAGAGUUUACUUUGAAAAAAUUAGAGUGCUUAAAGCAAGCUGUAUGCUUGAAUAGAGUGCAUGGGAUAAUGGAAGAGGAUUUUGAUUCUAUUUUGUUGGUUUUCGGAAUUCAAAUAAUCAUUAAGAGGAACUGACGGGGGCAUUCGUAUUGUUGCGUUAGAGGUGAAAUUCUUGGAUCGUAGCAAGACGAACAACUGCGAAAGCAUUUGCCAAGAAUGUUUUCAUUAAUCAAGGACGAAAGUUAGAGGUUCGAAGGCGAUCAGAUACCGCCCUAGUUCUAACCGUAAACGAUGCCAACUGGCCAUUCGUUGGUGUUACUUUAUGACCCGACGGGCAGCUUCCGGGAAACCAAAGUUUUUUGGUUCCGGGGGAAGUAUGGUUGCAAAGCUUAAACUUAAAGGAAUUGACGGAAGGGCACCACCAGGAGUGGAGCCUGCGGCUUAAUUUGACUCAACACGGGAAAUCUCACCCGGCCAAGACACAAUGAGGAUUGACAGAUUGAUAGCUCUUUCUUGAUUUUGUGGGUGGUGGUGCAUGGCCGUUCUUAGUUGGUGGAGUGAUUUGUCUGGUUAAUUCCGAUAACGAACGAGACUCUGGCCUAUUAAAUAGGCGCGAUAUAUUUGGUAUUGUGUCCUUCUUAAGGGGACUGGUAGCUUCUAGCUACACGAGAUUGAGCAAUAACAGGUCUGUGAUGCCCUUAGAUGUCCGGGGCUGCACGCGCGCUACAAUGAACGUGGCAAAGUGUCUGAUAACCUUGUCCGAUAGGACUUGGCAAUCACGAAUUAUGUUCGUGCUUGGAAUAGGGAAUUGCAAUUAUUUCCCUUGAACGAGGAAUUUCUAGUAAGUAUGAGUCAUAAGCUCAUGUUGAUUACGUCCCUGCCCUUUGUACACACCGCCCGUCGCUACUACUGACUGGAAGAUUCAAUGAAACGCUUGGACUGGGUCAAGUCCGGCUUCGCGGCUGAGCUUGAUCUGGAAAGAUCGUUGAAUUGUAUGUUCUGAAAGAAGUAAAAGUCGUAACAAGGUUUCCGUAGGUGAACCUGCGGAAGGAUC